Molecule: ribosomal RNA, 250 nt
Filed under: uncultured bacterium
Lineage: Bacteria
Description: partial 16S ribosomal RNA
Rfam family: Bacterial small subunit ribosomal RNA
Source: RNAcentral
UACGUAGGUGGCGAAGCGUUUGAUCCGGAAUUAUUGGGCGUAAAGGGCUCGCAGGCGGUCUUCUAAGUCUGACUGGUGAAAUCUUGGCGGCUUAACCGCAAGCGGUCAUUGGAAACUGGAGGAGGCUUGAGGUAACAGGAAGAGGAGAGGUGGGAAAUUCCACGUGUAGCGGUGAAAUGCGUAGAGAGUGUGGAGGAACACCAGUGGCGAAGGCGACUCUCUGGUCUGAUAACGUGACGCUGGAGGAGCG